This is a long non-coding RNA of Setaria italica (foxtail millet), 620 nucleotides long. RefSeq lists it as uncharacterized. Lineage: Eukaryota; Viridiplantae; Streptophyta; Magnoliopsida; Poales; Poaceae. The record is from RefSeq and is a predicted model, not a curated record. The transcript has 4 exons.
CGACGCCAGAUCCGGUCCUCUCCCACCUGAAGCCCCUAGCAGCAGGCCCCAUCCUUCGCGAAGACCGUGGCGCCGCAGUACCCACAUCCUGCACAAGGCCAUGCGCUCAUGCCUCUGAAAGGUUGCAGUAUUUUGGUGAAGAGAUCCAAAUUUGUGGUGUAUCCAUUAAAGACUGAAAAUAGUUGCAAUCUUCUGGGUAUUGCACACCAAGAUAAUAAGGCCAGAAAGUACAAGCAAUCUGUCAUGUUAAAUGGAGCAGCACCAGUGACAAAUUUGUUGGUUUAAAUCAGUAACUUUUGUGAAAUGGGCCUCUUUUGUGAAGUUGGGAGUCUGUUUGGUGAACCUUGAAGCGAUGGACUUGUUGUUGGUGAAGGAUGCAGUUAAGAUCUUUUAUAGAGUAAUUUAGAUAUGUGAUGUUGAGACUUGAGAGUGAGAAGGCCUCUCCUUUCGUGUAGUUGGUGUUCUGCUCGGAACACUGGGACCAAAAGACUUGCUGCAUAGUCAACAUGUGAACUGAUAUGUAGUCCUAUUUGUAUAAGGAAUUAGAUGAUCACAUGUGAUGGCAAGAUGUAAGCUGAUUACUGCUGCAUUGUGAUUGUGAUGGCAAGAUGCAUAUUUAC